RNAcentral lists this ribosomal RNA (499 nucleotides) under uncultured bacterium. RNAcentral's name for it is "bacterial SSU rRNA". It matches the Rfam family "Bacterial small subunit ribosomal RNA", at positions 23 to 507 of the family's 1533-position model. The record is from RNAcentral.
CUCAGGAUGAACGCUAGCUACAGGCUUAACACAUGCAAGUCGAGGGGAAAACGAUAGUUGGAAGCUUGCUUCUGAUAGGCGUCGACCGGCGCACGGGUGAGUAACGCGUAUCCAACCUGCCCAUCACUUGGGGAUAACCUUGUGAAAGUAAGACUAAUACCCAAUGACGUCUCUAGAAGACAUCUGAAAGAGAUUAAAAGAUUUAUCGGUGAUGGAUGGGGAUGCGUCUGAUUAGCUUGUUGGCGGGUAACGGCCCACCAAGGCGACGAUCAGUAGGGGUUCUGAGAGGAAGGUCCCCCACAUUGGAACUGAGACACGGUCCAAACUCCUACGGGAGGCAGCAGUGAGGAAUAUUGGUCAAUGGACGAGAGUCUGAACCAGCCAAGUAGCGUGCAGGAUGACGGCCCUAUGGGUUGUAAACUGCUUUUAUAAGGGAAUAAAGUGGGAGUCGUGACUCUUUUUGCAUGUACCUUAUGAAUAAGGACCGGCUAAUUCCGUG